GAGGGUAUAGCUCAGUGGUAGAGCGCGUGCUAAGCAUGCACGAGGUCCUGGGUUCAAUCCCCAGUGCCUCCA
This 72-nucleotide transfer RNA is filed under the name Camelus bactrianus (Bactrian camel). It matches the Rfam family "tRNA". Rfam says of the family: Transfer RNA (tRNA) molecules are approximately 80 nucleotides in length. Their secondary structure includes four short double-helical elements and three loops (D, anti-codon, and T loops). Further hydrogen bonds mediate the characteristic L-shaped molecular structure. tRNAs have two regions of fundamental functional importance: the anti-codon, which is responsible for specific mRNA codon recognition, and the 3' end, to which the tRNAs corresponding amino acid is attached (by aminoacyl-tRNA synthetases). tRNAs cope with the degeneracy of the genetic code in two manners: having more than one tRNA (with a specific anti-codon) for a particular amino acid; and 'wobble' base-pairing, i.e. permitting non-standard base-pairing at the 3rd anti-codon position. Lineage: Eukaryota; Metazoa; Chordata; Mammalia; Artiodactyla; Camelidae. RNAcentral also lists the same sequence under 3 other names. The record is from Rfam by way of RNAcentral.